CGACGGAGAAAGCCCAGCACUGAAGCCCGUUAAUAUUUUUAUAUUAACGUGCAAUGUAGUGUUUGGGAGAACUCUUAACCAAUAUAUUAAAUAAAUUUUUCAAGUCCUUCUUGAAUGGGGCCACACUUCCAUAGAGGGUGCCAGGCCCGUAGAAUAAUUAUAUAGUUUAUUGGUGAGUUUCUCCUUAGAGUCGAGUUGCUUGAGAGUGCAGCUCUAAGUAGGUGGUAAACUCCAUCUAAGGCUAAAUAUAACCACGAGACCGAUAGAUAACAAGUACCGUGAGGGAAAGUUGAAAAGAACUUUGAAGAGAGAGUUCAAAAGUACGUGAAACCGUUCAGAAGUAAACCUGUUAUACUCCAAAUUAUUUAUUAAUAUACAGGGAGAUUCAACAUCUUUACCGAUUACAACACAACAUUAAUAAUAUAAAUGAAUGAGACGGGCUUAUAAACAUAAUACUAUAUAUUUAUAUAUAUGUUUAUGUAUUUUAUAACGUUCGCUCAGUUUUUGUUUGUAUAGUUUGUAUCGGAGUUGUGCACUUCUUCCUGUAUUUUUUUACGUCACGACAUGUUGUUGUACUGUUUUAUGGGCUAUAAAGUUAGACCGUGGCAUUAAGACAUAUGUGCUUAUAUGACCCGGACUUUUAGUAAUUUUUUUAUAAUAAAAUAUAUACCUAACAGUCUAUACAACAUUAUAAUAUAUAUAAAAUAAUAUAUCAUAAAUAAUAAGAUAUAAUUUAUUUAUUGUCAGUGACGUACUUAAUUAUAUGAGUAAUAACAGGACCCGUCUUGAAACACGGACCAAGGAGUCUAGCAUAUAUGCAAGUCAUCGAGUCAAUAUUUUAUAGACUCAUAGACGUAAUUAACGUAAAUGUAUAAUAAUAUAAAUUUAAUAUAUAUAUGGAAAAAAAAUUUUUUUUUUUUAUAUAUAUAUAUAAUAAAAUAAAUUUUACUUAGGGAAGAUGAGUAGAAAUAUUAUAUUUUAUAAGAAAGCUACUCCGCAUUCCCGGGGCGUUCCAUAUAAAUUUUAUUAUAAAUAAUUUUUUUUAUUUAUUUUAUAAUUUGGGGCGCACCAAGAGCAUAUACGCUGGGACCCGAAAGAUGGUGAACUAUGCCUGGUCAGGAUGAAGUCCGGGGAACC
Molecule: ribosomal RNA, 1137 nt
Filed under: Cerapterus hottentottus
Lineage: Eukaryota; Metazoa; Arthropoda; Insecta; Coleoptera; Carabidae
Description: partial 28S ribosomal RNA
Rfam family: Eukaryotic large subunit ribosomal RNA
Source: RNAcentral